GAUUAAAGGUCCCACGGGUCGCGUUUUUUACUCCCUGCUUCGCUUGGGUCAAAGCAUCGAAAAAGGUUGAGGGGAGGCUGGCAACGGGUGGAAGGGGCAAUUGAGGGGCGAGAGGAGCGGCGGCCACUGGCGGGGAAGCGGCGUCGCGGGUGGAGGUGGCGGGGGACGCGAAGCAGGUUGGACGAAGGAGCCUACCUCUUACCCCUCUAGCUCCGGCGCGUCCUACCCGACGGCCACGGUCGCGGCGGGUUGCCCGCUGCCAUGGCUGGUCACCCGAGCCUGCUGUCGCGGCAGUAGGUCUACUGGAGGUACCUCGGGUCGGGGCCGAGUUGGAGACAGUGUUCGGUACUGCGGCAUUGUGGGGUCGGCGGAUCCUUGGAGUUCGGACCACCACGAUUAGAUUGAUAACUAGGUUCGUACGUUCCUCCAAGACCGCUAGUACGAUGUAGGUCACCUAGAGUUUCCCUAAGUUUCGAUCUCGAAAAACCCAAACUAAGUGAACAUUUAUAAAACCCGGAGUUCUCGUACUGUCCUCUUCUCCAGGGUCGAGGAAGCUCAGGAUCCCUCCCUCUCCUACAUCGUUAAUGGUAACCUGCCGGCUUCCUUCGACCUGGAUUCAAACCAUGUUACUACCCACAGAAACAUGGUACGAACGUCUUAUAGAACCCCUAGUAAAUAAUAUAGGCAAAAUGGACCUAACAUCCAUACCGUCCGUAUACCGUCAGCGAACAAAAUCAGAGCAAGACACCACGAACAUGUAAAAAUUGACCGAAUAGUAAUUCACGGUAACGUUGUUUACCCCGUUACUUCCCACCACCUGGUAUAAUAGAGUAACCGGCACGCGAACCAGGACUUCAACCUCAAUCAUAACCUAACACAAAGAAAGAACCUUUACGUCAACGACCCAGGUACAUACAAGACCCACGACAUCUUUGGAAAAACCUACGGUAAGGAAGACGUCCCAACAAAGUUCUCUCACAUUGUCACCACUUGUUAUGUAAUAAUUUGCCAUGUCGUUGUCGACCGUGCCGCUGAUAUAGCUGUGGGUCGAACGUACUGGAAGUUCAUAUACCACAAUAACACUGGUAUGACGAGACAAAAUAACAUAAGCCACCACAGUUUUAGUAGUUGUUCCAACGUGGACGGAAGAAUUAUGGUCAUGAGAAAAGUGACAACACGUAUAUAGAACCACAGAAGUAACGUGGUUCUGUGUUACGAGGUUUCCCCUAGUGACCCAACUCAGAUUGGAGUGAGUCUCUGUUGACCCCAAGUCUUAUAGUUGCAUGUUUGUUACGUCCUCAAGGACUAGGUUUACCAAGAUAUAUAACCCUAAAGUUACGAAACCAUCCAGAGAAAAAGGGUCGUCAGUGACCUUAAUACCGACCGAGUUUAGCUAGACGAAGUGACUUUCUAUGUGUUGCAAGUUAUGGUUAACCUUGCAAUACACGUUGUGAGUGUUGUUGACGAUACAUGAACAAAAGACACGACGACAAACCUCGGAACAGGUGUUCUCUCCUCGAAGAUUGACUAUCCGAAGAAUGACGAUGUCACCGUACCGGACGAGGUCAUCACUAAAUGUAACCAUAAUAGGACAGGUGAAAUCCACGUCGUGACGUCUCAAACUGUCCCCGAGGUUCCAAUGAUCGUCGUUAUCGUUUACUGCUGUAGGAAGGUCAGGAAUUAAUGAAAUUCCAAAGACUUCCUCGGCUUGGAGUGCGUCGUUGAAAUAAGUGUCGUAAUUAGACAUAACCUACACACUAAUAACCCUUGAACCUAGACUAAUGUGGGUGAUAGUGAUACAAGAAAGACAACACGAUACGACCACACUUGAACAGCACGAAAGACGAACUGAAUGAACUACGAGGAUCAACCGCGGGAGCUACCUUUGAAGUGGUGACCUCAGAAAGUGAACAACCACGUAAUGAAACGCAACAGUAGUACAAAAACUAGAGAACCAGAAAGUGACAAUAGAGGGAACGGGAACGUUCGGAGUAGAUAAUGAUACACUCGAAUUUUCCCUUCCGACCUCUAACCCCUCUACCCAAGUUCUCACGUAUAAAAGUCAACCGUAACGCCUCAGAGUCCAGCGAUCCUCGUUUGGUUCAAGUAGGAUUCUUAACCAUGGGGUAAGGAGACUAUAAUACGGCGGGAACCCCAUUUGAAGGUCUUUUACAGGGAACAGUAGGUUUUGAACGACUAAAACGGUUAACAUACUUCUUCUUCCCGGCACCAUACAGUUAUAAACAGAGCUGUUAACUGCCACUAAUAGUACUUGACCGACUCCUACGAUUCUGACGGACAGUAGUCGACCUCCGGAUGUAACUCAUGUUUGCGACACUCCCACAACGUCUCUAUUAACAUCGUGGAAGCUACAGACUCCCGAAGGCAUCGUAACAAGUCUGCUACCCGGAACCAUUAAACUUCGGAUUAUAACAACACCACGCCAUGGGACUCUAAACCGCGGCACUCUUAGACUGUCUCUAUGGUAGUUGGAAACAGUCAUAUUAUUUACUAACGUAGUAACGAUUGUUCCGUCAACAAUAACACUUCCCAGAACUACUCACCGGAUUACUCAAGGUCUCUGUCAUACCAUGAUAACUGGAGAUAACCUAACACUCUCUACCUCCUAACUACGAAGAAGACAGAGUCGAGGACGAGUGUUUUCGCUGAAAGCUUUCGACGUUCUAGGUUCAGAAGACGUAUCGACUUCUCCUGUGACUACGACUUCUCGAUUUCUGACUACAGUUUUUCAAGAACAUACUAGAAUCCUACGUGCGGCUCCAGUAACAACACUGAUACUUCAGUACCCUUAGAGUACACCUCUCGUCGUCGUCACCACGAGUCGGUCUACUAAGAGUUCUCCGAAUGUGUUCACGUGUCGCGUCCUAGUCGUGUAUGGAAAGACUCUACUUCCUUUGCCGUGUUUCUCUUCCUGCCGGCGUUUACCACCUACCCUUCGUUCAACACCACUUGCUCGUUUUCCAGCUAUUUAAGGAGAUAUGUUACAACUUCAACUUGAGAUGCUAUGAGUCCAUGAGGUCUUACCGUCGACACCACGAUCACUCGGAGGGAGGCGGUGGCGACUUAGUGGGACGUAUGAAGAUGUACCUCAUGUACCUAGACGAACAUCUCUUGCAGGGUGCGUACAACUAUCAAUCCCCUAUGUCUUCUCUACAACAGUGCAAAAAAUGGACUAGUUUAUGUAUGUCAGACUCGAGGUAAGUCAGCAACACGGUAACAUCGUCUUACCUAUGUGUCUACACACGUCUAAGGUGACGACUUCAACCUUCGGGAGUGGAACUGCCGAUGGAAUCUACCCUACGUGACCCAACAAUAACGGUAUAAUCCAUGCAUUUGAUAUCAUAGAAGUAAGGAAAAGACCUGUGUUGUCUACUUAUGAACCAGUAAUGUUUAAAACAUCGGGGCGAGAGGUUUAGUUAACAUCUUUGAAGGUAAAAAAAAUGACAACUCCCUGACGUUGGUCAACAACCUUCCUCGUUAUGGUGACGAUAUUAAUCUCUUAUAAGACAAUUGCGGGCUACAAUUACGUAGACACCUAGCAGCCGCCUAUAC
RNAcentral lists this ribosomal RNA (3573 nucleotides) under Triticum aestivum (bread wheat). Its description in RNAcentral is "partial small subunit ribosomal RNA". Lineage: Eukaryota; Viridiplantae; Streptophyta; Magnoliopsida; Poales; Poaceae. The record is from RNAcentral.